This 85-nucleotide transfer RNA is filed under the name Planctomycetota bacterium. RNAcentral describes it as "Planctomycetes bacterium (rhizosphere metagenome) tRNA-Ser". It matches the Rfam family "tRNA". From Rfam's summary of the family: Transfer RNA (tRNA) molecules are approximately 80 nucleotides in length. The record is from RNAcentral. Lineage: Bacteria; Pseudomonadati; Planctomycetota.
GGAGGGGUGGCAGAGCGGCCGAUUGCACCGGUCUUGAAAACCGGAGUCUCUUCGGGGACCAAGGGUUCGAAUCCCUUCCCCUCCG